GAAAUGCGAUAAGUAAUGUGAAUUGCAGAAUUCAGUGAAUCAUCGAAUCUUUGAACGCACAUUGCGCCCGCCAGUAUUCUGGAGGGCAUGCCUGUCCGAGCGUCAUUUCAACCAUCAAGCCCCCGGGCUUGUGUUGGGGACCUGCGGCUGCCCGCAGGCCCUGAAAACCAGUGGCGGGCUCGCUGUCACACCGAGCGUAGUAGCAAUCACCUCGCUCAGGGCGUGCUGCGGGUUCCGGCCGUUAAACAGCCUUACAAAACCCAAGGUUGACCUCGGAUCAGGUAGGAAGACCCGCUGAACUUAAGC
Molecule: unclassified non-coding RNA, 306 nt
Filed under: plant metagenome
Description: partial contains 5.8S ribosomal RNA, internal transcribed spacer 2, and large subunit ribosomal RNA
Rfam family: 5.8S ribosomal RNA (bases 1-105)
Source: RNAcentral